Molecule: ribosomal RNA, 302 nt
Filed under: uncultured bacterium
Lineage: Bacteria
Description: partial 16S ribosomal RNA
Rfam family: Bacterial small subunit ribosomal RNA
Source: RNAcentral
GCAGUAGCCGCGGUAAAACGGAGGGGGCUAGCGUUGUUCGGAAUUACUGGGCGUAAAGCGCACGUAGGCUGCUUUGUAAGUCUGUCGUGAAAUCCCCCGGCUUAACCGGGGAAGUGGCAUCGAUACGACCGUCCUCGAGGAACGUAGGGGGACCUGGAACUUCCGGUGGAGCGGUGAAAUGCGUUGAGAUCGGUAGGAACGCCCGUGGCGAAAGCGAGGUCCUGGACGUUUACUGACGCUGAGACGCGAAAGCUAGGGGAGCGAACAGGAUUAGAUACCCCGGUAGUCCCUGUCUCUUAUAC